AGUAAAUAGAUACCCGGGUAGUCCACGCCGUAAACGAUGGGCACUAGGUGCUGGGGGGAGCGACCCCUUCAGUGCCGCAGCUAAACGCGAUAAGUGCCCCGCCUGGGGAGUACGGCCGCAAGGCUGAAACUCAAAGGAAUUGACGGGGGCCCGCACAAGCGGUGGAGCAUGUGGUUUAAAUUCGAAGCAACGCGAAGAACCUUACCUAGGUUUGACAUGUAGCUGAAAGCCUCUGGAAACAGGGGCCCUUCUUCGGAACAGCUACACAGGUGCUGCAUGGCUGUCGUCAGCUCGUGUCGUGAGAUGUUGGGUUAAGUCCCGCAACGAGCGCAACCCUUGCCCCGUGUUACUAACAGGUAAAGCUGAGGACUCUCGGGGGACUGCCGGCGUCAAGCCGGAGGAAGGUGAGGACGACGUCAAGUCAUCAUGGCCCUUACGCCUAGGGCGACACACGUGCUACAAUGGCGAGGACAGAGGGCAGCGAAGCGGCAACGUGAAGCGAAUCCCAGAAACCUCGUCUAAGUUCGGAUUGUGGG
RNAcentral lists this ribosomal RNA (536 nucleotides) under uncultured bacterium. RNAcentral's name for it is "bacterial SSU rRNA". It matches the Rfam family "Bacterial small subunit ribosomal RNA", at positions 775 to 1304 of the family's 1533-position model. The record is from RNAcentral.